GAAAUGCGAUAACUAGUGUGAAUUGCAGAAUUCCGUGAAUCAUCGAGUCUUUGAACGCACAUUGCGCCCCCUGGUAUUCCGGGGGGCAUGCCUGUCCGAGCGUCAUUGCUGCCCAUCAAGCACGGCUUGUGUGUUGGGUCGUCGUCCCCUCUCCGGGGGCGACGGGCCCCAAAGGCAGCGGCGGCACCGCGUCCGAUCCUCGAGCGUAUGGGGCUUUGUCACCCGCUCUGUAGGCCCGGCCGGCGCUUGCCGAACGCAAAUCAAUCUUUUUCCAGGUUGACCUCGGAUCAGGUAGGGAUACCCGCUGAACUUAAGC
Molecule: unclassified non-coding RNA, 316 nt
Filed under: plant metagenome
Description: partial contains 5.8S ribosomal RNA, internal transcribed spacer 2, and large subunit ribosomal RNA
Rfam family: 5.8S ribosomal RNA (bases 1-105)
Source: RNAcentral